GGUAAACAGAUGAUCGCCCCUUUAAUAAGGGGAGGAAAGUCCGGACUCCUGCCUUUAAUUAGGCGUCGUGGUAAUGGAUAACGUCCAUCGUUCUGUAUUUACAGAAUAGGGAAAGUGCCACAGAGACAAUACUAGCCAUUACAAUGGUGAAAGGUGAAAAGUUAUACAAUGUCUAAGUUAUAUCGGGAUAUCCAAAUAACUUAAGCUAUGCAUAUUCUACACUGGCAACAGUGAUAGAUGGUAAACCCUACCUGGAGCAAGAGCAAACCUCUAUUUUAUAUUUAUAAAAUAGGGAUGAAAAGUAGCUCGCUUGACCUUAAUGGUAACAUUAAGGCUAGAUAGAUGAUCAUCGCCCUUAUCGGGUCUGUCGCCAAAUACCAUAUUCGGUAUAAAAUUCCAAAU
This 402-nucleotide RNase P RNA is filed under the name Patescibacteria group bacterium. Its description in RNAcentral is "RNase P RNA component class A". It matches the Rfam family "Bacterial RNase P class A". Rfam says of the family: Ribonuclease P (RNase P) is a ubiquitous endoribonuclease, found in archaea, bacteria and eukarya as well as chloroplasts and mitochondria. The record is from RNAcentral.